This 301-nucleotide ribosomal RNA is filed under the name uncultured bacterium. RNAcentral describes it as "partial 16S ribosomal RNA". It matches the Rfam family "Bacterial small subunit ribosomal RNA", at positions 509 to 807 of the family's 1533-position model. The record is from RNAcentral.
CAGUCGCCACGGUAAUACGGAGGGUGCAAGCGUUAAUUGGAAUUACUGGGCGUAAAGCGCACGCAGGCGGUCUGUCAAGUCAGAUGUGAAAUCCCCGGGCUUAACCUGGGAACUGCAUUUGAAACUGGCAGGCUAGAGUCUUGUAGAGGGGGGUAGAAUUCCAGGUGUAGCGGUGAAAUGCGUAGAGAUCUGGAGGAAUACCGGUGGCGGAGGCGGCCCCCUGGACAAAGACUGACGCUCAGGUGCGGAAGCGUGGGGAGCAAACAGGAUUAGAUACCCCUGUAGUCCCUGUCUCUUAUAC